CCCCCCCCCAGUGUGGCUGGCGGGUCCCCGGGCUAGUCGCGGGGUGCAGAGAACCUGUGUUGGAAGGGGGGGGGCAGAGGGGUGCAUCUCUUUGGGUGGGAGUCUGUGUAGUCCCCAUUUUCCUACCAGCCCCAGUCUCUGGGGCCGAGACCCUGGGUGAUCAUCUCUGUGCAGCCGAUUAAACCUUGCCCGCUGCAGCUGCAGGUGCGGGUUUGCAGCUGGCCCGCGGGCAGUGGAUUAGAUCUGAUGGUACCGAGGGUGGAGGGUCUCAGUGACCCCCCCCCCCUUCCUGCCCUAACCUCAAGCCUCCCCUGGCAGGCAGCAGCCCCCGGCGUGGCCCAGUGCGGAGCCUGGUGUCUCUGCCAGGCGCUUUAUAGCCGAUUGAGCCCGGGGGCUGGGGAAUCCCUGGAGCGGGAGGGGAGCGAGCCGUGAGUCAGGGGUGGGCAGGAGUCCAGUGCUGGAGCCAGGGCAGCGCUGGGACUUCCUGCGCCGGGGCUGGGAAAAUCCGUGCCGGGGGGGAAAGCCCUGCGUGAAUGCACCUGACUUUCCAGAGGGCUGUUUACUCUCGUCCUCGCUGCCGAAAUGGGGAGAGGGAGACGCUGUUUUACAGCCAGGCUCACUGCAUCUGCCCACUGCAAAGCCUCAAGAUCCUGUGAGGCCCAUUGGGUAGCUUUGGCCACAUAUCUCCCAGGGAUGUACAGAAGAGGAAGAAGGUUCGGGGAAUGGAUUGUGAUUGCGGCUGGGCUGACGAGGUGGUGACCUCAGGACUAUGAAACAAAGCUGACCGGUGGCUUCCAAACAAACGGCAAAUGGGAGAACCUCAGGGCACCACCUCCAUCUAUCAUAAUGCAUAAAACUAAUGAAUAAAAUGACAGUAACAGAAUACAUGCUCUUAUUACAGCCAAGAUAUUCCAGUGGGAUAUUCUAAGACCAGUUAGCCCCAGGACAUGAUACACCAUCUGUAUAGAAUCUUAGUUAUUGAGGUGAGACCAGAAAUCCAAAUGGCUCCUGAGUGCUUUAUCAUUGGUAUCGGGGCAAGCUGAAAGGGUUUGUCAGAACUGGAAUAAUCCCACCCAAAGGUAGUUUGUCAACCUCCUGGUAGAGAAAGUAUGUUUGCACUUAGCAGUCGAGCUGACCAGCAUUUUUUUGUCAAAACAGUUUUUUGUUGGAAAAUCCUGUUUCCGUUAAACUGAAUAUUUUGGCAAAAUUGUAUCCAGUUUGACAAAAGUUUCCAUGGAAACAAAAUGUCCCCAAAUUAAAAAUGAAGGGCAGCUACUACUUAGUACAGAUGGAAACAUUUUAUCUUACUCUCUCUAGAUCAAAGCGUGUCCUGUUUGUGUUAUUAUAUGAAACAGUUUGACAUAGUCCAGAAGAAUCUGCCGUUGAUUUCCUCUGUGAUUUUGGGCAAGUCAUUUUCCCUCUCUGUGCUAUGGUUUCUCCAUCUGUAACAUGGGAAUGCUAAUGCUGGCCAACCUCACAGGAGUGUUGUGAAGCUUACUUAAUUGUUUGGAAGGUCUCUAAGAGCCUCGUAUGAGAGGGUGUUUUAGAAAUACCAAGUUUUAUUAUGAUAAUUGAAGUUUGUCUUGGAUGGCCAUGGACUCCUCAAAUGAAGACCCAGAGACUCAGACAAGAGCAACUACGUCUAAUUAUGAGCAGCACCCCGUGUGUAAUGGCACAAAUUGCUUCAUAACUCUGGAUAUUUCAAGAUUGCCUAAUUGUGUUCUGGAAUCUAAGCCUUAAAUUUAAGCGUCUUGACCUUAUGAUUGCAAAGAUAAACUUUGAAAUGUGACCUGAAGGUAUGUCUACACAUAAACUGCUACAGCGGCACUAUUGCACCCGGUGCCACUGGAGCGCUUCCGUGAAGACACCACCUAUGCUGGUGGAGGGAUUCUCCCAUUGGCAUAGGUAAUCCAUCUCUCCAAAAGGCAGUAGCUUAGGUUGACGGAGCUGACUGGACUCUGGGUAUGGAUCCUUCCACCGGAGGCGAGAAGCACCAGCGGCUGCCCCCCUGCUCCCGGCUGGGAGGGGAAAGGCGAGGAGCCCUGCGGGGGAAGCUGGACUUCCGGUUGGGAGCUGCAUAGAGCUUAAAGCCCUGGCUCUCAGUCCCCCACACUGCUCCUCUUGAGUGGGUGGAAGCGCUCCUGGUGAGGGUGCGCACGACCAACAGAAGGAGGGUAGUGUGGACACCAGCCACCCCAAUAAUUAAUGGCGUGGCUGUAAGUCGACCUAACAUAGGUCGAAUUAUCAUUGUAGUAUAGACAUAGCCUAAGCUUUUGAGCUUACACAGAGCUCUUCUUCAGGCCUGGGAAAGGUAUUCAGAGUGUCGAAGCUAAAUACAAGGUGGAACAGCUUAUUUAACAUAAGUAGUUAAUACAUAUUGUGAAGGACCAAUCAAGGUGAAGAGACCAGUUAACACCUUGUCAGUCAUAGGACAAAAAUGGGGGGUUAGUGCAGUGGUGGGCAACCUGCGGCCCGUGGGCCACAUGCGGCCUGUCAGGGUAAUCCGCUGGUGGGCCGUGAGACAGUUUGUUUACAUUGA
This is a non-coding RNA of Chrysemys picta bellii (western painted turtle), 2539 nucleotides long. The record is from RefSeq and is a predicted model, not a curated record. NCBI's taxonomy places the organism in Eukaryota, Metazoa, Chordata, Testudines, Emydidae.